AGUGAACGCUGGCGGUAGGCCUAACACAUGCAAGUCGAACGGCAGCACAGUAAGAGCUUGCUCUUACGGGUGGCGAGUGGCGGACGGGUGAGGAAUACAUCGGAAUCUACUUUUUCGUGGGGGAUAACGUAGGGAAACUUACGCUAAUACCGCAUACGACCUACGGGUGAAAGCAGGGGAUCUUCGGACCUUGCGCGAUUGAAUGAGCCGAUGUCGGAUUAGCUAGUUGGCGGGGUAAAGGCCCACCAAGGCGACGAUCCGUAGCUGGUCUGAGAGGAUGAUCAGCCACACUGGAAAUGAGACACGGUCCAGACUCCUACGGGAGGCAGCAGUGGGGAAUAUUGGACAAUGGGCGCAAGCCUGAUCCAGCCAUACCGCGUGGGUGAAGAAGGCCUUCGGGUUGUAAAGCCCUUUUGUUGGGAAAGAAAAGCAGCAGGUUAAGACCCCGCUGUUCUGACGGUACCCAAAGAAUAAGCACCGGCUAACUUCGU
This 491-nucleotide ribosomal RNA is filed under the name uncultured bacterium. Its description in RNAcentral is "partial 16S ribosomal RNA". It matches the Rfam family "Bacterial small subunit ribosomal RNA", at positions 29 to 506 of the family's 1533-position model. The record is from RNAcentral.